AGCAGCCGCGGUAAUUCCAGCUCCAAUAGCGUAUAUUAAAGUUGUUGCAGUUAAAAAGCUCGUAGUUGAAUUUCGGGGUUAGUAGGUUGGUCAUGCCUCUGGUAUGUACUGGUCUCACUGAUUCCUCCUUCCUGAUGAACCGUAAUGCCAUUAAUUUGGUGUUGCGGGGAAUUUGGACUGUUACUUUGAAAAAAUUAGAGUGUUUAAAGCAAGCUAACGCUUGAAUACAUUAGCAUGGAAUAAUGAAAUAGGACGUUCGAUCCUAUUUUGUUGGUUUCUAGGAUUGACGUAAUGAUUAAUAGGGAUAGUUGGGGGCAUUAGUAUUCAAUUGUCAGAGGUGAAAUUCUUGGAUUUAUUGAAGACUAACUACUGCGAAAGCAUUUGCCAAGGAUGUUUUCAUUAAUCAAGAACGAAAGUUAGGGAAUCGAAGACGAUCAGAUACCGUCGUAGUCUUAACCAUAAACUAUGCCGACUAGGGAUCGGAUGAUGUUAAUUUUUUAAUGACUCA
This 508-nucleotide ribosomal RNA is filed under the name uncultured Glomus. Its description in RNAcentral is "SSU rRNA". It matches the Rfam family "Eukaryotic small subunit ribosomal RNA", at positions 569 to 1078 of the family's 1831-position model. The record is from RNAcentral. Lineage: Eukaryota; Fungi; Glomeromycota; Glomeromycetes; Glomerales; Glomeraceae.